GCGCUAUUAGUUUAACGGUAAGAACCUCAGUUUUCCAAACUGAAGAUGGCGUUUCGAUUACGCCAUAGCGCUCCA
RNAcentral lists this transfer RNA (75 nucleotides) under Caudoviricetes sp. Its description in RNAcentral is "tRNA-Gly". It matches the Rfam family "tRNA". From Rfam's summary of the family: Transfer RNA (tRNA) molecules are approximately 80 nucleotides in length. Their secondary structure includes four short double-helical elements and three loops (D, anti-codon, and T loops). The record is from RNAcentral. Lineage: Duplodnaviria; Heunggongvirae; Uroviricota; Caudoviricetes.